GUAGGAUCCGAGCGUUAUCCGAAUUUACUGGGCGUAAAGCGCGUGUAGGCGGUCGGGUAAGUUGGACGUGAAAGCUCCUGGCUCAACUAGGAGGGGUCGUUCAAAACUGCCUGGCUAGAGGGCGACAGAGGGAGGUGGAAUUCCCGGUGUAGUGGUGAAAUGCGUAGAUAUCGGGAGGAACACCAGUGGCGAAGGCGGCCUCCUGGGUCGCACCUGACGCUCAGACGCGAAAGCUAGGGGAGCGAACGGGAUUAGAUACCCCGGGUAGUCCUAGCUGUAAACGAUGUGGACUUGGCGUUGGUGGGGUUAAAUCCCAUCAGUGCCGUAGCUAACGCGAUAAGUCCACCGCCUGGGGACUACGGUCGCAAGAUUA
RNAcentral lists this ribosomal RNA (373 nucleotides) under uncultured organism. Its description in RNAcentral is "partial 16S ribosomal RNA". It matches the Rfam family "Bacterial small subunit ribosomal RNA", at positions 527 to 896 of the family's 1533-position model. The record is from RNAcentral.